RNA transcript from Phragmites australis (common reed), 3872 nucleotides. It is a transcript of the gene named E3 ubiquitin-protein ligase UPL6-like, with no coding region annotated. The transcript has 27 exons. The record is from RefSeq and is a predicted model, not a curated record. Lineage: Eukaryota; Viridiplantae; Streptophyta; Magnoliopsida; Poales; Poaceae.
GGCAAACCCGUAAAUGGAAUCGCCCUUCUCACCGUCGUCUUCCCAAAUCCGAUCGACCGUCUCGACUCCUCUUUCCCCUCCCGACUCGCCUCGUCGCCGCCCUCCGCUUCGCUUGUGCUUGCCCCCUCCCGAAGUCUCCCAGCUCCCCAAACCCGAUCGGCCUGAGCGCCAUUCCGGCAGGUGAGGGAGGCGGCGAUGUUCUUCUCCGGCGAUCCGUCGGCGCGGAAGCGGGUGGACCUCGGCGGGCGGAGCAGCAAAGAGCGCGACCGCAAGGUGCUGCUCGAGCAGACACGCGAGGAGCGGCGCCGGCGCCAGGGACUCCGCCUCCAGACCUCCUCUGCCACGAAGAUCCAGAAAUUCUUCAGAGGGAAGAAGGCUUUGGAAUUGGCACGUUCGGAAAUUCGGAAGAACUUUUGCUCUACCUUCGGGGAGCACUGCGAGAGGAUAGAUUGGAACAGUUUUGGCACAAAUUCUGAUUUUCUUCGUCAAUUGCUGUUUUUCUUCAAUGCAAAUGAAGACGAUGAUAUCGCUAUACUUUGUCAAGUCUGCAACUUGCUGCUACAAUAUGUUAAACAUGGCAGAGAUAUUGUAAUUCUCUUUGCUGACAUAAAUGACUCCUCACUGCAACCUCUAGUGGCUCAGAGAGUAAAAAAACUUACACUCAUCUGUGUGCAAGCAGUCUAUCAGAAGAGGCAUGAUUGGGGUAGCCAGCGUUUGACAGCAUCUGGAACCGCAUCAGUGCCUUCUGUCUCAUUACUAGAAACUGUAGCUUGCUUGAUAAAUCCUAAACUUCCGUGGAACUGCAAAGUAGUUGGGUAUCUUCUGCGGAGAAAGAUCUAUUGCUUAUUUCGGGGCAUUAUUCUUUCUGUACCGCAAAAUGCCAGAAAUUUGAGGCAUCAUGAUAAUGCAUCUGCGCUGGAGCAAGUUCUCAUGCUUGUUGCUUCACAUGUUGGGUAUCACCCAUGUAGUUGUCAGAUAGUGGAUCCAAGAUGGAGUUUCUCCUCUCAGCUUCUAUCCAUUCCUUUUCUAUGGCAUCGUUUGCCGCACCUCAAGAAGGUUUUCUCAGUUAACGGACUCAGCAAAUAUUAUAUCCAUCAAAUAGUGUGCUUUUUGCCCAGUCUUGCUGAUGUUCUUCCAAACGACAUAUCAGUUAAUCAUCCAGGAUAUGCUUGUGUCCUUGCAAAUGUUCUUGAAGCUGCAACCUGGAUUUUGUCUGAUGCAAAGUUUGCUUCUGACACAGCAGCUGACAUCAUUGCUGUUUCUACGUCGUUGUUGGAUGUGUUGCCAGCAAUCACAUCACCUACUGAAUGGGCAGAUGACGAUGAUGACAUGCCAAUGGAUGUUGAUUUUAAAAAUGGACUUGAUGCUGAUUUGGAAAGACAAAUAACUGCAGCAAUUGAUUCAAAGCUACUUCAACAUUUGGUGAAUGCACUCUUCAGAGGUAUAUCAAGCACAAACCAUUCUGAUCUUUCUGGACCAUCGGAUGUUGAGGUGGAAGCCGUAGGAUCUAUUUGCGCCUUUCUUCAUGUCACAUUCAACACAUUCCCUCUAGAGAGGAAUAUGACUGUGCUGGCCUACCGGACUGAAAUUGUUCCUGCACUAUGGAAUUUUAUAAAACGAUGCCAUGAUAACCGAAGAUGGCCAUAUUUUUCCAAGUUUGUGUCUUCGUUGCCUGCAGAUGCUCCUGGUUGGCUCCUGCCCGUGUCUGUAUUCUGCCCCAUAUACAAGCACAUGUUGAAGAUCAUUGAUAAUGAGGAAUUUUAUGAACAGGAGAAACCUCUUUCGCUUAAAGAUUUGAAGUCAUUGGUUCUCAUUUUAAAGCAGGCUUUAUGGCAACUUCUGUGGGUUAUUGCUCCCUCUUCUACUCAGAAAGCGUUACCCAACCCUUCAGGCCUUAAGAAACUGUCAGUUGAGAAUGUCAAGACAAGAGCUAGGGUUGGGUUAUCUGAACUACUCACACAGUUGCAAGACUGGAACAACCGACUCCCAUUCACUUCUGCAAGUGAUUUCUAUUCUCAAGAAGCAACAAGUGAAAAUUUUGUUUCUCAGGCAAUACUUGGCAAUACUCGAGCAUCAGAGAUUAUAAAGCUUGCUCCCUUUUUGGCGCCUUUUACCAGUAGAGUCAAAAUAUUCACUUCUCAAUUGGUGAGUUCUAGACAAUCGACUGCAUCCCAUUCUGCAUUGACAAGACAUCGGCUCAAAAUAAGAAGAAGUCGACUUCUAGAAGAUGCUUUUGAUCAGCUAAGUUUGCUUUCUGAAGAAGAUAUCAAAGGACCUAUUCGAGUGGCAUUUAUUAAUGAGCAUGGUGAGGAAGAGGCUGGAAUUGAUGGUGGUGGAAUUUUCAAGGAUUUCAUGGAAAAUAUCACUCGAGCUGCUUUUGAUGUACAGUAUGGUCUAUUCAAGGAAACAGCUGAUCAUCUUAUGUACCCAAACCCUGGAUCAGGAUUGGUUCAUGAACUGCAUAUGCAAUAUUUCCAUUUUCUUGGAAUUCUCCUUGGGAAGGCAAUGUAUGAGGGCAUACUUGUUGACUUGCCAUUUGCAACAUUCUUCUUGAGCAAGUUGAAACAAAAGUACAAUUUUUUAAACGAUCUGCCUUCAUUGGAUCCAGAAUUGUAUCGGCAUCUUCUAUUUUUAAAGCAUUACAAUGGUGACAUCUCAGAAUUGGAACUGUACUUUGUUAUUGUAAAUAAUGAAUAUGGUGAACAAUGUGAAGAAGAACUUCUCCCAGGUGGGAGAGACAUGCGUGUUACUAAUGAUAAUGUUAUUACUUUUAUCCAUCUUGUUGCCAACCAUCGGCUAAACUAUCAGAUCCGCGCACAAAGUACACACUUCUUGCGAGGUUUCCAACAGCUUAUACCAAAAGAUUGGAUCGAUAUGUUCAAUGAACAUGAAAUUCAGGUUCUCAUAUCUGGCUCUUUAGAAAGCUUGGACAUCGACGACUUGCGGUCAAACACCAACUAUUCUGCAGGAUAUCAUCCGGACCAUGAGCUUAUUGAGAUGUUUUGGGAGGUCUUAAAGAGCUUCAGUUCGGAUAAUCAGAAAAGAUUUCUCAAGUUUGUGACCGGAUGUUCUCGUGGCCCACUCCUUGGAUUUCAGUACCUCGAACCAAAAUUUUGCAUUCAGAGAGCUGGUGUUCCAGGCAUGGCGGAGCAUGGAGACCGCUUGCCUACAUCGGCUACUUGCAUGAACCUUCUGAAGCUGCCCCCUUAUAAAACCAAGGAGCAGAUGCAAACCAAAUUGUUGUAUGCGAUAAAUUCAGAAGCUGGUUUUGAUCUAAGUUAAUCGCGUUCAGGAUUCAAUAUUGUGCAGUGUAGAUAGUUGCUAGACAACAAGCUUAAAGGCACCCAGGGGCGAAGCACCGACCAUCGGGCCUCAUUUGAAGCCCCAUAAAGAAAAAGCAGAUGUUUCUCAGAGUAGAUGGAUAUCUGGAGGGAUGCCGCUAACUAGGCUCCCAAAAACAUAGGCAGAUGUUGUUUAAUCAGCCAUGAACAUUGUACAUAUGUAUUUUAUCGUUGUGGUUGAUGGCCUCUUGUGGUAUAAUAAAUGGUUCGUGAGGUAUUUGAGCCCUUUGGCGCCCCUUCAUGUGACUUCAGUGGGACACCGUUAAUCGCGCUAUAGCAGAGCGCCCGACGCACGAUGCAAGAUGAAUGCCAUCCACGCUCACGUUGCUCUUCUUAAUCACAAGAAGAAAAAAGAAAUGAGUCGCUUUCAGGAUGUCUCAGUAUGGUUCCGAUGCAAGAAAAGAUGAUUCCAUAGUUGUGCUUGUCUAUCUUUAGUCUAAUCUUCGAAUUUCAUCAUGGACUUAUAAAACCAGAUAUAUUUUAUUUUACAAUAUUAUUUAAAUUUCAUUUUAAAUUAUGAAAUCAGAUAUA